CUGGUUCUCCCCGAAAUAGCUUUAGGGCUAGCGUCGAGGUAAGUUGCGUGAAGGUAGAGCACUGAAUAUGUGAUGGCCCCAUCUCGGGGUACUGAGCAUAAUCAAACUGCGAAUGUCACGCCAACAUGCUCGGCAGUCAGACAGCGGGUGAUAAGGUCCGUUGUCAAGAGGGAAACAGCCCAGACCAUCAGCUAAGGUCCCAAAAUGUAUGCUAAGUGGAAAAGGAUGUGGAGAUGUACAGACAACUAGGAGGUUGGCUCAGAAGCAGCCAUCCUUUAAAGAGUGCGUAACAGCUCACUAGUCGAAUGACUCUGCGCCGAUAAUUUACCGGGGCUAAGCAUACUACCGAAGCUAUGGAUCCCAAGGGAUGGUAGGGGAGCGUUCCAUGAACGGAGAAGUACGACCGAAAGGACGUGUGGAGAUCAUGGAAGAGAGAAUGCCGGUGUGAGUAGCGGAACGUGGGUGAGAAUCCCACGCACCGAAAACCCAAGGUUUCCAGAGGAAGGUUCGUCCGCUCUGGGUAAGUCGGGACCUAAGGCGAGGCCGAAAGGCGUAGUCGAUGGACAACAGGUAGAGAUUCCUGUACCCGUAUAUAUGUGAAGGAAUGACGGAGAGAGGAAGCUGCAGCCAGCGGCUGGAAGAGCUGGUGCAAGCGAGAUAUCGGGAUGGCAGGCAAAUCCACCAUCCGAAACGAGAAGGCGUGAAGCGUACGGAAAGCUACGGCGAGUACGGAAGGCAGUGGAGGAACUUCCAAGAAAAGUUUCUAACGUUAAGUAUAUAUGGCCCGUACCGAAAAUGGACACACAUGGGUGAGGAGAGAAUCCUAAGGUGAGCGAGAGAACUAUAGCUAAGGAACUCUGCAAAAUGACUCCGUAACUUAGGGAGAAGGAGUGCUCAUAGAGAUAUGAGCCGCAGUGAAACGGCCCAAGCGACUGUUUACCAAAAACACAGCUCUCUGCUAAGCCGCAAGGCGAAGUAUAGGGGGUGACGCCUGCCCGGUGCUGGAAGGUUAAGGGGAGGGGUUAACGCAAGUGAAGCCCUGAACUGAAGCCCCAGUAAACGGCGGCCGUAACUAUAACGGUCCUAAGGUAGCGAAAUUCCUUGUCAGGUAAGUUCUGACCCGCACGAAAGGCGUAACGAUUUGGGCGCUGUCUCAGCUGUAGACUCGGUGAAGUCUUAGUACCUGUGAAGAUGCAGGUUACCCGCGACUAGACGGAAAGACCCCAUGGAGCUUCACUGCAGGUUGAUAUUGGGAUUUGAUGCAGCAUGUACAGGAUAGGUAGGAGGCAAAGAGAUGGAUACGCCAGUAUUCAAGGAGCCGCUGUUGGGAUACUACCCCUGUUGUAUUGGAUUUCUAACCGGACGACGUAGAGCCGUUGACGGGACAGUGUCAGUCGGGCAGUUUGACUGGGGCGGUCGCCUCCCAAAGAGUAACGGAGGCGCCCAAAGAUACCCUCAGCUUGGAUGGAAACCAAGCGCAGAGUGCAAAGGCAAAAGGGUGUUUGACUGCGAGACCCACAAGUCGAGCAGGGACGAAAGUCGGGCUUAGUGAUCCGGCGGUGCUGAAUGGAAAGGCCGUCGCUCAACGGAUAAAAGCUACCCUGGGGAUAACAGGCU
RNAcentral lists this ribosomal RNA (1617 nucleotides) under metagenome. Its description in RNAcentral is "bacterial LSU rRNA". It matches the Rfam family "Bacterial large subunit ribosomal RNA", at positions 849 to 2483 of the family's 2925-position model. The record is from RNAcentral.